Molecule: long non-coding RNA, 515 nt
Filed under: Homo sapiens (human)
Lineage: Eukaryota; Metazoa; Chordata; Mammalia; Primates; Hominidae
Description: non-protein coding LINC00658:17
Source: RNAcentral
ACUCAGAAGCUGCCUUGAAGAAAGGGUCUACCCAGCAUGGGUUGCUUAGACUCAGUGGUGUGCUGGAGCAGGCUCCUACCAGCUAGAAAGAACCAGUUCAAUACGUCUCUUCUCAACUCCAUGUUCAGAGUUGUCAGAGAACCAAUUGUUAAAUAUUUACUGGCACUCCACUGCUUAGAUUUUACCAGUGCUUGCAGUGCUAACCAGGAGCUCAUCCCUGGAGGAGAGGCAGAGAAUGUGUACUCCCAGAUGCAGCCAGCUUCCAGAAGAAGAGGUAGGAGCCAAGCAGAGCAUGCCCACAUCAAUCUUCCAGCAUUUAAUGGCCAUAGAAGUUACUGAACCUCCCUUGGAUGGAUAGAAGAUGGCAUUAUCUUUCUUAAAUAUGAUACCUCUUAUCUUUUUGUUCCCUUGACACUUGAGGAGGGAGGCCAAGGGUUGAUCAUGCAAGCAAGUUUGUGCAUUUUGCACAUUUAUUAAGUUAUGCUUUUGAGGAAAUUAAAAGAUCACAAGGGCUU